AGCGAACGCUGGCGGCAGGCCUAACACAUGCAAGUCGAACGAACCUUUCGGGGUUAGUGGCGGACGGGUGAGUAACACGUGGGAACGUGCCUUUAGGUUCGGAAUAACUCAGGGAAACUUGUGCUAAUACCGAAUGUGCCCUUCGGGGGAAAGAUUUAUCGCCUUUAGAGCGGCCCGCGUCUGAUUAGCUAGUUGGUUGAGGUAAUGGCUCACCAAGGCGACGAUCAGUAGCUGGUCUGAGAGGAUGAUCAGCCACAUUGGGACUGAGACACGGCCCAAAACCCCACGGGGGGGCCAUGGGGGGAAAUUUGGGAAGUGGGGAAAAGCAUAACCUUCCCAUGCCGGGGAAAUGAUAAAGGGUAGAGGAAGGAAAAAUUCUUUCCCAGGGGGCGACAACGGCGGUCCCCGGAAAAGAAGCCCCGGCCAACUUCGU
Molecule: ribosomal RNA, 433 nt
Filed under: uncultured bacterium
Lineage: Bacteria
Description: partial 16S ribosomal RNA
Rfam family: Bacterial small subunit ribosomal RNA
Source: RNAcentral